This is a long non-coding RNA of Lagopus muta (rock ptarmigan), 5904 nucleotides long. RefSeq lists it as uncharacterized. NCBI's taxonomy places the organism in Eukaryota, Metazoa, Chordata, Aves, Galliformes, Phasianidae. The record is from RefSeq and is a predicted model, not a curated record. The transcript is spliced from 5 exons.
AGGCAACGAGGAUGAGGGUAAAAUCAAGAUGUAAGGAAUGCUUGAGUCCUUUUGGAGAUCUGUACGGCAGACCCGACCGAUUUCAGUAUAAAGGGAAGCUCUGAGUCAAUGAGAAAGGACAGGGUUACACACACACCUACAGGACGCUCUCCUGCUGUGUCAUGAGGAUCAGAGCCAACCCCAUUGCUGUGUGAACUCUGCAAAGCACGGAGAUCACAGCAGAGUGAGUCUGCCUGCAUCAGCAGAAGAGCUGCCUUUGUGGAGGUGCAGAUGCAGCCGGCCAUUGUGGAAUUCAUCUUGACCACUCAGAUGUUCUCUUCCACUCCAAAUCCAGCCCGUUCUUUGGAGAUGGAACAGGAUGCAGUUCUUAAUUGUGGCCCGAGUCCCUGUGGGUUUCUUUUCCUCCCACAAAGCUGCUCACCCUGGAGGAGCACAGGCACGGACACGAGGCCACAGCAGCUCUCCCGUUGUGUCAGACAGCAGAGACAUUGGAGUGGAAGAAGGCCCCACAGCUUUACAGGGGAAAUUGCACACAGUCAUUGACUUUCCAUCCAAAAGAUGAAGAGGAGUUUCUUUUGCAGCACCUAUCAUAAUUGUUUGGGUAUUAAGUCUACAAACUGCACUGAAUGUUUGAAAGUAGGCAACCGGUGUAUUUGCAUCAGAUGAAAAGCAGUGGAAAAAAACCCAAGCCCACAUCAUUCUGAAGAUGGAACCAAGCAGUCCACUUCUGGAAAUGCUACGAGAUGCCUACAGAAAAAGGUCUUCUGGUUCUUAUAGACAGUCUCUUCAAGGUAGGGGCUGCAAAGGCUGAUGUGGAUUCAUGGUUUUAAUUAAGCUGGUUUGAACACCAAAAUAUAUAUGCGGCAGAACUUCAUAACAAUAAAAAGAGAAACCCUACUCAUUUUCCUGAGAACGUAAAGCUACAGGAUUUUAUACAUCCUCUGCUCAGGGAAAAAGAUUUUUGUAAUGUAGGGAAUGAAAUAAAUUGUAUUCAGUUCUUGUUUUGCGGGGAGUAAACUCAGUGUGAAGGAUCAUCAUCAUCAUCAUCAAAAAAAAACCCCACCUGUGUAAACAGACUCGUGUAAGGAUGCAAAUUUUGCACAGAGAAGCAAAAAUCUGCCGUGCAGCUGCUUAGAGCACAUCCUCAUGCCAACAAUUUGAGCUGACUUAGGUAAAAGCAGCUUUGACAUUCAUAUCCUUCACCCAGUUGCUAAAACAACAUUGAGAACGUCUGUAUUCAAACUCAAGGGUUUGAGGGAGGGAAUGUCCAGCAGCUCAGGGUGCUGUGCCACAAAGCUCUGCCUGGUGGCUGGUGCUCCGUGGACCCUACCAUGACUUCAUAAGACCGGAACAUCAGCAAAUAAUUAUAAAAAAUAAAAUUUGAGUUUUACAGUUUAACCCACACUUUUCUGCAGCUUUGAGCUCCUCUAAAGAUGCACAUCGUUCCCUCUACGAUUUAAGGGACAUGAAAAAAUGACUCAGGGAGGGAAAUACCUCUACAUACAUCUCUUGUGUAGCAAGAUAGAUAUGCCUCCAGAUUCAUCUCUUGUGUAGACAGGGAGAAACACCUCUGCGCUGUGGCAAGAUUGAUCUGCACUGCUGGAGCGUCCUGUAUGGCAAGUGUGCUUGUGUGGCAGGAGUGCAGAAUGCCCCAAAGGCUGCUUGGGGCUUUGGUCACAGGGAUGUGAGCAGUUCCUUAGAUGUUCAACAGUUGGAUGCGUUCUGUAGUGAGAAGAAAUACAAAAGCCUUAGGAAAAACUCAUCAGCUCAGUGUCGAGUCAGAACUGCACAUCCAUCUGCCUUCAGCCCCGUCCGCACUCCUCCGCAUCCCACACAGCCCUUUGUGCUCCCAGAAUCUCAGACAUCUCUGCCCAUUCCCAGUGAUGCAGUGGGGACCAACCUCAUCUACAGCGGAUGGGCACUUGCCCAGUGAUGCUGAGGGUGAGCAGGAAACUGUGAGACAGGAAACACGACAGUGGGCUUGUGCUCAAGUCCUGAGCAGUUUUACUUGCUGCAGCAGCCAGCAGCUGGGAGAUUCUGCCAGGCUGCCUGGUGAAGAAUGGCAGUUCAAGGAUCAAGAGUAGGAGUUCAAGCAAAUUUGUGUUAUUGCUUACACCUGGCUUAUGGCCUCCUCGACAGGCAGGGGAGCUGGUAGACAACCAGAUGAUGCCAUGUGGCCCCUAUGGGAUUCUAUAAAAAUCAACUGGUUGGAGCAAACAGCCCUGAAGCUUUAGUUUUCAUCAAUAUCUGUCUUUUGAUUAAAACCCAUGUAGCUCUUGCUAAAAAGUGAGGGCAGGAGCAGCUGAUCUGUGUUGUACUGGUGAUCCUCAGCAGUAGUUAUUCCUCCGGAGUCAGACUGCUAGAGGAACAGAUGAGGACAGAUUUUUGACCUGAGAAGAUUCAGUGCUGAAACACUUUGCUGUCCAGCCUGCCUACAAAAUACCUGGAGUGGCACGUGAAAUAGAAAAUCACUUUAAAUUAUGGACAUGAGAAAGUAUGACUUGCUGGCUUGAAGCUCAAAGAGCAAUAUGAAAGCAUGUGGGAGAAGCUUUUUGAAAGUAAUGUUAUGCUUUAUAAAACAUCAGUUUUAUAAAACACUCGUUUAUCCUGCUCAUCUUUAAAUGCUGCCCACGUUCAGCAAAAUAUAGUCCUUUAAUCUUGGGCUGAGGAGAACUCUGAUGACAACUACAUAAGUGAGAGGGUUAGAUUAAGUCUAUAAAUGCACUGGAAGAGGAGAACCAUGAGGUUUUCCAAAGCAUAACAGAAUAAAGUUAGCAAAAGGAAUAUUAAGAGUUUCACAGAAUAUUUCCUGACAGAAAGGGCUUUAGACUGUGAGCAAGCUACUUGAAUGGCAUGCACACUAGGCUCGAUGGGACCCACAGGUCUGUUUCUAAGGUGGAAAGGUCACAGUUAGAUAACAUACCUUGUUGUUUGUGCACCCUUCAUUUGACAAGAAGUAGGCAGCUUGGGUCUGGCAACAGAGUUGUUUUAUUUUUGUGUUUUAUAAGAUAUUAGCUGCAAUGUUCACUGAUUUUGGCUUUCACACGUCCCGUGUGUUUGAUAAAACAUGGCCUUGUGAAUCUUAAAAGCUUCGCAGAGCAAUGGUAGCAUCUGGGUAGAUUUUCAUUUUAUUGGAUUAAUGUUAAUUGGCUGCCUCAUAACCAGUUUAUUUAUUCAUUGCAAAUGCUCUAAAUGCUGGCAAACGAUAUAAUUAGACUAUAAGCUAUCAAGGAAUCAAAUAAGAAACACGUUUCUGAUACUCUGCACAACAUUCUGUACAAUAUUCUAUUUGCCCCGUAUUUUCCUUUCAAAAUGAUAUUGAACUUUAAAUUGGGAGUUUUCCAUGCUAGAAUGUUCAAAACCAUCAGCCAGCAUUAGCAGGAAUCUGCCAUCAGCUCUGGCUCCUGGCUCCCAUAACUGUCCUUCUCACAGAGCCAUAGAAUCACAGAGCAGCUUGGGCUGGAGGGGACCUUAAAGCUCACCCAGCUCCAACUCCCUGCCGUAGGCAGAGGUACCAGCCACCAGCCCAGGCUGCCCAGGGCUCCAUCCAACCUGGCCUUUGAUGCCUCCAGAGAUGGGGCACCACAGCUUUUCUGGGCAGACUGUGCCAGGGCUUCACUACCCUCUGUGUAAAGAAUUUCUUCCUGACACCUAACCCAGACUUCCCCUCUUUUGGUUCAGAACUGCUCAGCCUUGCUUAUCUCUAGCAGACCACGUAAGAAGUCAGCCCCCCUCCUUUUUAUAAGCUCCCCUCAAGGUGCUGCACUGCUACAAUGGGGUUUUCCAGGGCCUUCUCCAGGCUGCACAAGCCCAGCUCCCUCUGCCCAUCUUCCUAGGAGAAGAAAGGAGGGAGACAGCCACUUCCCUUGCUCUGCUGGCCACUCUCUCUGGAUGCAGCCUCAGUCUCUUGUUUCUCUUCCUUCAUCCUCACUACUCUGUGCACCUCUGCCUGCCCUCAGCCACAUCUGGUGGGGAGGCACCUCCUGGUCAGAGUUUUGCUCCCUUCUCCUGUGAACGGCGAUGCUGUGCAAUCCUUCCUCCAACAAAGUGCCUUGUUACAUCUGGAGAGAACAGGGUCUCAGUGAUCUAAUGGUGUUUGCACCCCAAAGCCGCAAAAGGGACAGUUUCCACCUGUUUCCACUUUGUCUUUUAUUUAAGCAGUUCUGUUGACUGCUGCUGGUCAGUUUGCACACUGGUCAUACGGAUCUUCUCACAGUGGUGAAAUAUUUAUGUCACAUGUUCUGUUGUAACUCCUCAGUUUCUUCUCUUCGAGCUUGCAAUCUUCACAUUUUCAAUGGUUUGGUUGGUUGGUGCCUCAUAGAGCAGAAGUGCUGGGAUUAAAAAGUACAUAUAGUAUAUAAAGUUCUUCUCCAUCUUGCAAUUUCUGUAUCUCAAUUAUGUAUUUGCAAAGUGAGUAUGAAAUAUUUAACUGUCCAAGUCUAUCUUGUUAGAAGCCUUUAAGAAUGCAGCUUCUUUCAAAUGUCCUUUAACAUAACUCAGGGUUAGGAAUUAAACACGUAAUUAAAAAAAUAAAGUACAAAUUGUUUCACAUUUUCUAAAGAAAAUGUUUGACCUUGAGUCAUUUCCCCUAAAGAUGCUGAAGGUUUUUCCAGUUGGAAGUGAGGAGCAGAUUGCUGGUAAGCUGCCAUGGGUUAAAAAGCUCCACAUGUCAUCUCGGCCCCAGGUUGGUCUUUUUUCCCUUGAUGAGAACAGCCCUAUUAAGCUGGACGUAGUGAUCCAUGACUCUUAGACAAAGCUGGUAGCUGGGGCCUCUUACUGGAAUUUCGUGCCUCUGUUCGUGUAAUUUCCUGAGCAUUCUCACUGCUAAGUGGGAUGCCUGGUCUUGUUUUGUUGACUGCACCAGGCUAUGUGAGGCAAGGCUUGCAAGGCAAGUUCCUCCUCAGGGCUGAGCACAGCUCGUGUUCUGGGGACAUCACCACGCGUUCCAUCACCUGGUGUGUGCAAAGAGCACCAGAAGCAGCACAUCAAAGACAAGACGCCUGUGACGUACCUAAAAACGCCAUUUAAAGUGCCAACAUUGUAGCUCUCAGAACAGCUAGGGCCAAAGAUGAGGGUGGGAGCUGGGCACAGCCCCUCCUCCCAGAGCUGUGGCUGCUCACAGCCCCUCUCAGCCCUGCAGACCAUCUGGGUGCAGGGCUGGAGUUGUGGCUGGGCAGCACUUUAAGCAGGCGAUCAGCUGCAGCUCUGCUAGUGCACUGCUGACACACUGUGCUCUGCAGUUGUGUGUUUUCUGCUUACGGCUGGAGCAGAAUGCAAAAUUAAGAGAUGAAACAAAUCCCACUUGAAAACCUUUGAGAAGGAACCCAGUCAGUUCUCCUGUUAUGGCUCUACAGACUUUUUUAAGUGACAAAGUGAUGUUUUUCAUUUUUCCUUUUUUUUCCCUCUUUCUUCUGGCUCAGAGGAAGAGGAAAGUCUUGUUAUGGUGGGUGAGCAUUUUAUAUAUUUAUUGGAUUUCUUACAUUCUUACAUUUCUCUGCUCAGGCCCCCACCCCUGAGGAGGGAAAACUCCAGCACGUGGAAAUUGGCCUCAUGUCAUGUAAAUGCAGCUCCUACAGAUCGACAAAGAGCCUCCUCAAAGGACAAAGAAACUACAGUUUGUAAUUCAUUGCCUCUUCAUUUGUGUAAAGUGAUGCCUGUGUCUCUAAUGUUUUUCAGGAGAAAUAUACUUUGUAGGAUAUCAGCUACUAAACACAUCCACUGUAAUUCUGUCCUUCCCAGUGUUUUCUCCAUAGAUCCCUUUGUUAUUUCCUCUGGGUCCCUCUUAUUGAUCCUUUUUGGCAGCACUUUAUCUCAAGUAUUUUAAGGUCUGCUUAUCCAUAUAUUGGUCACAACAGCAGCUGCAUGAAUUUUCCUUAUUCCCCCUAUCCCCCCUACUCCCCCCAU